UACGGAGGGUGCGAGCGUUGUCCGGAAUCAUUGGGCGUAAAGGGCGCGUAGGCGGCGUGGUAAGUCACUUGUGAAAUCUCUGAGCUUAACUCAGAACGGCCAAGUGAUACUGCUGUGCUAGAGUGCAGAAGGGGCAAUCGGAAUUCUUGGUGUAGCGGUGAAAUGCGUAGAUAUCAAGAGGAACACCUGAGGUGAAGACGGGUUGCUGGGCUGACACUGACGCUGAGGCGCGAAAGCCAGGGGAGCGAACGGG
This 253-nucleotide ribosomal RNA is filed under the name uncultured bacterium. RNAcentral's name for it is "partial 16S ribosomal RNA". It matches the Rfam family "Bacterial small subunit ribosomal RNA", at positions 524 to 776 of the family's 1533-position model. The record is from RNAcentral.